This 207-nucleotide ribosomal RNA is filed under the name uncultured bacterium. RNAcentral's name for it is "partial 16S ribosomal RNA". It matches the Rfam family "Bacterial small subunit ribosomal RNA", at positions 568 to 775 of the family's 1533-position model. The record is from RNAcentral.
UGCGUAGGUGGUUUCUUAAGUCAGGAGUGAAAGGCUACGGCUCAACCGUAGUAAGCUCUUGAAACUGGGAAACUUGAGUGCAGGAGAGGAAAGUGGAAUUCCUAGUGUAGCGGUGAAAUGCGUAGAUAUUAGGAGGAACACCAGUAGCGAAGGCGGCUUUCUGGACUGUAACUGACACUGAGGCACGAAAGCGUGGGGAGCAAACAG